GACCGCGUAAGCUCAGUUGGAAGAGCAUUGGGCUAGUAUUCCAAAGGUCGUAGGUUCGAAUCCCACCGUGGCCG
Non-coding RNA from Paramuricea clavata, 74 nucleotides. NCBI's taxonomy places the organism in Eukaryota, Metazoa, Cnidaria, Anthozoa, Malacalcyonacea, Plexauridae. The record is from the annotation of a GenBank genome assembly.